Molecule: ribosomal RNA, 252 nt
Filed under: uncultured bacterium
Lineage: Bacteria
Description: partial 16S ribosomal RNA
Rfam family: Bacterial small subunit ribosomal RNA
Source: RNAcentral
ACGGAGGGGGCUAGCGUUGCUCGGAAUUACUGGGCGUAAAGGGCGCGUAGGCGGACUUUUUAGUCAGGCGUGAAAGCCCCGGGCUCAACCCGGGAACUGCGUUUGAUACUGGAAGUCUAGAGUUCUGGAGAGGGUGGUGGAAUUCCCAGUGUAGAGGUGAAAUUCGUAGAUAUUGGGAAGAACACCGGUGGCGAAGGCGGCCACCUGGCCAGACACUGACGCUAAGGCGCGAAAGCGUGGGGAGCAAACAGG